GAUGAACGCUGGCGGCGUGCCUAAUACAUGCAAGUCGAGCGAACGGACGAGAAGCUUGCUUCUCUGAUGUUAGCGGCGGACGGGUGAGUAACACGUGGAUAACCUACCUAUAAGACUGGGAUAACUUCGGGAAACCGUAGCUAAUACCGGAUAAUAUUUUGAACCGCAUGGUUCUAAAGUGAAAGACGGUCUUGCUGUCACUUAUAGAUGGAUCCGCGCUGCAUUAGCUAGUUGGUAAGGUAACGGCUUACCAAGGCAACGAUGCAUAGCCGACCUGAGAGGGUGCUCGGCCCCAGUGGACCUGAGACACGGUCCAGACUCCUACGGGAGGCAGCGGUAGGAAUCCUUCCGAAGUGGCGGAAGCCCUGCCGGAGAACCGCGGCGUGGGGAAUGAAGGUCUUCGGAUGGUAAAACCUUUUUAUUGGGGAAAACCAUCUGUGAAGGUAACUGUGCCGAUUUGGACGUAACUAAUCAGAAAGCCACGGCUAACUACGUG
RNAcentral lists this ribosomal RNA (496 nucleotides) under uncultured bacterium. Its description in RNAcentral is "partial 16S ribosomal RNA". It matches the Rfam family "Bacterial small subunit ribosomal RNA", at positions 28 to 507 of the family's 1533-position model. The record is from RNAcentral.